Molecule: non-coding RNA, 313 nt
Organism: Pelobates cultripes (western spadefoot toad)
Lineage: Eukaryota; Metazoa; Chordata; Amphibia; Anura; Pelobatidae
Source: the annotation of a GenBank genome assembly
UUUAAACAUUAAUUUCCGUUUUAAGCAACCUUUCUGUUUGCUACCAAAUAAGGGACGACUGCCCUGUAUUUAAGCUCUUUAAGUUCUGUUUUUGUUUUUUUAUGACAAUACCAUGAUUUUAUGCCAGUCUACUAAAUGUUAAACUUCUGAAUAACAUAUAGUAACAGGCUACAAUCAAGCUCCAGUUAAGAUAUAAAAAGGUGAAGAGCAAAAGAAGAAAAGAAAGGGAAAAAGAGGAGAGAAGGAGAAAGGGAGGAAGAAGAUAGUGGGGAAAGAACUGGCUACAAAAAAAUUACACGAAAGUAAACAUAAC